RNAcentral lists this ribosomal RNA (809 nucleotides) under uncultured bacterium. Its description in RNAcentral is "bacterial SSU rRNA". It matches the Rfam family "Bacterial small subunit ribosomal RNA", at positions 245 to 1048 of the family's 1533-position model. The record is from RNAcentral.
CUAGUUGGUGGGGUAACGGCCUACCAAGGCGAUGAUGAGUAGCCGGCCUGAGAGGGUGUACGGCCACACUGGGACUGAGAUACGGCCCAGACUCCUACGGGAGGCAGCAGCUAAGAAUAUUCCGCAAUGGACGAAAGUCUGACGGAGCGACGCCGCGUGGAUGUUGAAGGCCGUGAGGUUGUAAAAUCCUUUUGUCGGGGAAGAAUAACCAUGGGAGGGAAUGCCCGUGGGAUGACAUGAACCGGCGAAUAAGCCCCGGCUAACUACGUGCCAGCAGCCGCGGUAACACGUAGGGGGCGAGCGUUGUUCGGAAUUACUGGGCGUAAAGGGCACGUAGGCGGUUCUGUAAGCCUGACGUGAAAGGCUAUGGCUCAACCAUGGCAUUGCGUUGGGAACUGCGGGACUUGAAUCACGGAGAGGGAGCUGGAAUUCCAGGUGUAGGGGUGAAAUCUGUAGAUAUCUGGAAGAACACCAAUGGCGAAGGCAAGCUCCUGGCCGAUGAUUGACGCUGAGGUGCGAAAGUGUGGGGAUCAAACAGGAUUAGAGACCCUGGUAGUCCACACUGUCAACGAUGUGCACUAGGUGCUGGGGCGGACGCUUCAGUGCCGGAGCUAACGCGGUAAGUGCACCGCCUGGGGAGUAUGCUCGCAAGGGUGAAACUCAAAGGAAUUGACGGGGGCCCGCACAAGCGGUGGAGCAUGUGGUUUAAUUCGAUGGUACACGAGGAACCUUACCUGGGUUUGACAUGCACAGGAAUACGGCAGAGAUAUCGUAGCGUAGCAAUACGCCUGUGAACAGGUGCUGCAUGG